UGCGUAGGCGGUCUCGCAAGUCUGGCGUGAAAGCCCAGGGCUCAGCCCUGGAAGUGCGCUCGAAACGGCGAGGCUGGAGUGCCGGAGGGGAGAGUGGAAUUCCCGGUGUAGCGGUGAAAUGCGUAGAUAUCGGGAGGAAUACCGGUGGCGAAAGCGACUCUCUGGACGGCAACUGACGCUGAGGCACGAAAGCGUGGGGAGCAAACA
Molecule: ribosomal RNA, 207 nt
Filed under: uncultured bacterium
Lineage: Bacteria
Description: partial 16S ribosomal RNA
Rfam family: Bacterial small subunit ribosomal RNA
Source: RNAcentral